CCUACGGGGGGCUGCAGUGAGGAAUAUUGGUCAAUGGGCGCGAGCCUGAACCAGCCAAGUAGCGUGAAGGAUGACUGCUCUACGGGUUGUAAACUUCUUUUAUAAAGGAAUAAAGUGAGCCACGUGAGCAUUUUUGCAUGUACUCUAUGAAUAAGGAUCGGCUAACUCCGUGCCAGCAGCCGCGGUAAUACGGAGGAUCCGAGCGUUAUCCGGAUUUAUUGGGUUUAAAGGGAGCGUAGAUUGUGUUGUAAGUCAGUUGUGAAAGUUUGCGGCUCAACCGUAAGAUUGCAAUUGAAACUGGCAGCCUUGAGUACAGUAGAGGUAGGCGGAAUUCGUGGUGUAGCGGUGAAAUGCUUAGAUAUCACGAAGAACACCGAUUGCGAAGGCAGCUUACUAAACUGCCACUGACAUUGAUGCUCGAAAGUGUGGGGAUCAAACAGGAUUAGAUACCCGGGUAGUC
Molecule: ribosomal RNA, 460 nt
Filed under: uncultured bacterium
Lineage: Bacteria
Description: partial 16S ribosomal RNA
Rfam family: Bacterial small subunit ribosomal RNA
Source: RNAcentral